RNAcentral lists this ribosomal RNA (506 nucleotides) under uncultured bacterium. RNAcentral describes it as "partial 16S ribosomal RNA". It matches the Rfam family "Bacterial small subunit ribosomal RNA", at positions 29 to 523 of the family's 1533-position model. The record is from RNAcentral.
AGUGAACGCUGGCGGUAGGCCUAACACAUGCAAGUCGAACGGCAGCACAGGAGAGCUUGCUCUCUGGGUGGCGAGUGGCGGACGGAUGAGGAGUACAUCGGAAUCUACUCUGUCGUGGGGGAUAACGUAGGGAAACUUACGCUAAUACCGCAUACGACCUACGGGUGAAAGCAGGGGACCUUCGGGCCUUGCGCGAUUGAAUGAGCCGAUGUCGGAUUAGCUAGUUGGCGGGGUAAAGGCCAACCAAGGCGACGAUCCGUAGCUGGUCUGGGAGGAUGAUAAGACAGACUGGAACUGGGACACGGUCCAGACUCGUACGGGAGGCAGCAGUGGUGAAUAUUGGACAAUGUGCGCAAGCCUGAUCCAGCCAUACCGCGUGGGUGAAGAAGGCCUUCGGGUUGUAAAGCCCUUUUGUUGGGAAAGAAAUCCAGCUGGCUAAUACCCGGUUGGGAUGACGGUACCCAAAGAAUAAGCACCGGCUAACUUCGUGCCAGCAGCCGCCGUAA